RNAcentral lists this ribosomal RNA (813 nucleotides) under Triticum aestivum (bread wheat). RNAcentral describes it as "partial small subunit ribosomal RNA". Lineage: Eukaryota; Viridiplantae; Streptophyta; Magnoliopsida; Poales; Poaceae. The record is from RNAcentral.
AUGGCGUAUCCCUUAAUGCCGCAGGGCGCGACGGCGUUGGAGAUCCCCACCGACCGGCCGGCCUUCUACGAGUGUUUCAAGUCCUUUGGCGUCCCCGCGGCCGCGACCGCGUUCCGCCUGGUGACUCCGCCGACGGAGACAAACGCGUCGCGCCCAGAACGCAUCACCAUCUACAAGCCUCCUCCCCCUCCCGGGAUGGUCUACUUCGCCAAGCGCUUCGCGUACGCCUACAUCACCCCGGCGACGGCCCCGUGCCGCGCCGACCCGGGCGCCUUCAUCCGCCGGGUCUUCCGCACCCUGGCGCUCGACCUGCCGCAGAGCCUCGAGCUCCUGCCCCCCGGCCACGGCGCCGACGCGACGGUGCGCUUCCGCACGCCCGACGACCGGGAGGCGGCCAUGCGCCGGCAGCCGUUCGAGCUCGACGGCGCCACCGUGAAGCUGGUGCGCGAGGGGGAGACCAGCAACUGCUCCCGCGCCAGGAACGACUACGUCGCCCACGUCGCGCUGCACGACUACCCCCGUCGAGCAGCGCACCCAGAAGGAGAUCGGCGCCAACUGCGGCAGCUCGAGGACCCCCGAGAGAUCCCCCGCCACGUCCGGAUCAGGUACCAUGGUGGCUCCACCAGCGUCGUCCCCGUCGAGAUCGUCAGGCUUUGGGACCACGCACACUCCUCCGACGCCCAUGGACAAGACAAAGCCAUCGGGCACCACCGCCCCCUGUGCAGCCACCCUUGCUCGGCGUGGUGGCGCGGCGACCCAACCUCCCCCUUGCCGUCCACAAUCAUACCGGUGAACCGGCAGUCAAACCGGUAA